AACGAACGUUGGCGGCGUGGAUUAGGCAUGCAAGUCGGGGGAAUCCCGCAAGGGGGAACCGGCGUAAGGGGCAGUAAGGCAUGGGUACCUACCCUGGGGUUCGGGAUAGCCAUCAGAGAUGGUGGGUAAUACCGGAUGACGUCUCAGGACCAAAGAUUCAUCCCCCCGGGAGGGGCCCAUGUGAUAUUAGCUAGUUGGUGGGGUAACGGCCCACCAAGGCGAAGAUGUCUAGCGGGUGUGAGAGCACGACCCGCGCCACUCGCACUGAGACACUGGCGAGACACCUACGGGUGGCUGCAGUCGAGGAUCUUCGGCAAUGGGGGCAACCCUGACCGAGCGACGCCGCGUGCGCGACGAAGGCCUUCGGGUUGUAAAGCGCUUUAGUGGGGAGAAAAGCCGCAAGGUGUGAUCUAUCCCAAAAAUAAGCACGGGCUAAGUUCGUGCCAGCAGCCGCAGUAAUAC
This 462-nucleotide ribosomal RNA is filed under the name uncultured bacterium. RNAcentral's name for it is "bacterial SSU rRNA". It matches the Rfam family "Bacterial small subunit ribosomal RNA", at positions 29 to 526 of the family's 1533-position model. The record is from RNAcentral.